GGGCUCGUAGUCUAACUUGGAUAGGGCGCUGGGCUUCGGACCCAGAUAUUCAGGUUCAAAUCCUGACGAGCUCA
Molecule: transfer RNA, 74 nt
Filed under: Nanobdellota archaeon
Lineage: Archaea; Nanobdellati; Nanobdellota
Description: tRNA-Arg
Rfam family: tRNA
About the family: Transfer RNA (tRNA) molecules are approximately 80 nucleotides in length.
Source: RNAcentral